Molecule: long non-coding RNA, 557 nt
Filed under: Cervus hanglu yarkandensis (Yarkand deer)
Lineage: Eukaryota; Metazoa; Chordata; Mammalia; Artiodactyla; Cervidae
Description: lncRNA (ENSCHYG00000004247.1)
Source: RNAcentral
CCUGGGGCACAUGGCGGACGCAUUGGUGGUCUCAUCAAAGGGAGAAAGUCUGAUGAAGUGGCAGUAAAGGAAAGAAUUCACUGAAUGGAAAAACGUCUGGAGAAGAGUGAAGGAAACCCCUAGAAAAGGCUGCAGACCACUGUCUCCCCUUUGCCGGAGAGAGUCUGAGAGGCGGUCUCAGACCUCAUCUGCUGGGAGGCCGCCCAGGAAGGUGCGCAGUGGCGCGGGUGUUCCAGCUGCCUCUGAGGUGCUGUGUUCAUCAGGAUAGCCUGGUGGUUGCAGUAAGCAGUCCCAGCACUGUGGUGAGACUGUUUUUGCUUUCAUGCAGAGUCUGGAGCAUGUGUUCUCACUGGCAGCAUCUCCCAAGGCUCACCUUUAAGCACUGGCUUCUACACCCUUUUCAUGAUGUACCUCACCCAUCCUGGAGUUUUAGAGUAGAAGGCACAGAGGAUGUGGAGGGUCACAAGAAUGUUUUAGGGAGGCCACUGAGUGGUAUCCGAUUACUUCCCCCACCUCUUAUCAUCCACAAGUCUGAUAUAUAGUCCCUCCUAACUUCA